Molecule: ribosomal RNA, 433 nt
Filed under: uncultured bacterium
Lineage: Bacteria
Description: partial 16S ribosomal RNA
Rfam family: Bacterial small subunit ribosomal RNA
Source: RNAcentral
AACGAACGCUGGCGGCAUGCCUAACACAUGCAAGUCGAACGAGACCUUCGGGUCUAGUGGCGCACGGGUGCGUAACGCGUGGGAACCUGCCCUUAGGUUCGGAAUAACUCCCCGAAAGGGGUGCUAAUACCGGAUACUGUCUUCGGACCAAAGAUUUAUCGCCUUUGGAUGGGCCCGCGUUGGAUUAGCUAGUUGGUAGGGUAAAAGCCUACUAAGGCGACGAUCCAUAGCUGGUCUGAGAGGAUGAUCAGCCACACUGGGACUGAGACACGGCCCAGACUCCUACGGGAGGCAGCAGUGGGGAAUAUUGGACGAUGGGCGAAAGCCUGAUCCAGCAAUGCCGCGUGAGAGAUGAAGGCCUUAGGGUUGUAAAGCUCUUUUACCCGGGAUGAUAAUGACAGUACCGGGAGAAUAAGCUCCGGCUAACUCCGUG